GUGCUUGCUUCCACAGCACACAUACUAAAAUUGGAAUAUUACUGAGAUUAGCAUGGCCCCUGCACAAGGAUGACACGCAAAUUCAUGAAGGAUUCCAUAUUUUU
Molecule: small nuclear RNA, 104 nt
Filed under: Dasypus novemcinctus (nine-banded armadillo)
Lineage: Eukaryota; Metazoa; Chordata; Mammalia; Cingulata; Dasypodidae
Source: RNAcentral